AAUAGUAUAUAUUAUAGACUUUUAAAAUUAUUAUUGGUACCCAAUAAUAAAUUUUAUGCAUCUAAGGGUUAAAAAAUUGGUAGUAUAUAUUAUUCACAUGCUAUUAGAAGUAUUUUAAUUAGUUGAAUUAUACAUGCGAAUCUGUCAGAUCAUUGGUGCUAAUCAUUAAUUCUAAAAAUCCGAGUAGUUAGAAAGAUAUAAUCAAUUCACUUAAAAUGUUCAAACACAGCAUCCACGAGUUUUGAUUAUUAUUUGGCCCGACCAAUCUCCCCCCAUUUCGAACAUGACUGAGCCCGCUAUUUCGAACGUGACUCGAUCCAACCUAACCUUCCACCAUAAGACCGAAUGCUGGUCUUUUUAAGCCAACAGAAUCAACAAGUUGACCAUUUCACUCAAAAUUUGAUUGAUGCAUGGUCACAUGGCUAAUGAACAUUUUUUCAGAUUUUGUUGUAAAUUAUUACAGAAUUAUUAUUCAGAGGAUAAAUUUUAGUAUUUUAAAGAAAAAUUAUUACAUGGUUAAAUUCGUGCUAGGGGUAAAAUUGGUAUUUAAAAAAUAUUGGAUGAACUUUAAGAGGAAUAUUGAUGAUAUUUACAUGGCUAACGAAUAUUUUUAGUUUUAAGAGGAAUAUUAGUAAUAUUUUUUAGUUUAGAAGGCCAUUUAUUAAAUUAUGGUCUUCUAGAGGGGUAUUGUUGAAAUUAUU
This 701-nucleotide long non-coding RNA is filed under the name Ananas comosus (pineapple). RNAcentral describes it as "long non-coding RNA (ACOM_LNC027173)". The record is from RNAcentral. Lineage: Eukaryota; Viridiplantae; Streptophyta; Magnoliopsida; Poales; Bromeliaceae.